CCUACGGGAGGCAGCAGUGGGGAAUAUUGCACAAUGGGGGAAACCCUGAUGCAGCGACGCCGCGUGAGUGAAGAAGUAAUUCGUUAUGUAAAGCUCUAUCAGCAGGGAAGAAAAUGACGGUACCUGAGUAAGAUGCCCCGGCUAACUACGUGCCAGCAGCCGCGGUACUACGUAGGGGGCAAGCGUUAUCCGGAUUUACUGGGUGUAAAGGGAGCGUAGACGGCAGUGCAAGUCUGGAGUGAAAGGCGGGGGCUCAACCCCCGGACUGCUCUGGAAACUGUACGGCUGGAGUGCAGGAGAGGUAAGUGGAAUUCCUAGUGUAGCGGUGAAAUGCGUAGAUAUUGGGAGGAACACCAGUGGCGAAGGCGGCUUACUGGACUGUAACUGACGUUGAGGCUCGAAAGCGUGGGGAGCAAACAGGAUUAGAUACCCCGGUAGUC
RNAcentral lists this ribosomal RNA (440 nucleotides) under uncultured bacterium. RNAcentral describes it as "partial 16S ribosomal RNA". It matches the Rfam family "Bacterial small subunit ribosomal RNA", at positions 338 to 795 of the family's 1533-position model. The record is from RNAcentral.